AGCUUUGCUCAGUGGCAGUAUCAUAGCCAAUGAGGUUUAUCCAGACGCAGUUAUUGCUAAUUGAAAACUUUUCCCGAGCCGGGUGCGGUGGCUCAAGCCUGUAAUCCCAGCACUUUGGGAGGCUGAGGGUGGU
This 133-nucleotide small nuclear RNA is filed under the name Saimiri boliviensis boliviensis (Bolivian squirrel monkey). Its description in RNAcentral is "U4 spliceosomal RNA (ENSSBOG00000014128.1)". It matches the Rfam family "U4 spliceosomal RNA". Rfam says of the family: U4 small nuclear RNA (U4 snRNA) is a component of the major U2-dependent spliceosome. The structure of U4 snRNA from yeast and human has been reported. The record is from Rfam by way of RNAcentral. Lineage: Eukaryota; Metazoa; Chordata; Mammalia; Primates; Cebidae.